RNAcentral lists this ribosomal RNA (395 nucleotides) under uncultured bacterium. Its description in RNAcentral is "bacterial SSU rRNA". It matches the Rfam family "Bacterial small subunit ribosomal RNA", at positions 401 to 789 of the family's 1533-position model. The record is from RNAcentral.
UGUGUGAAGAAGGCCUUCGGGUUGUAAAGCACUUUCGUCCGGGAAGAAGGCCUUGGGGUUAAUACCCUUGGGGAUUGACGUUACCCGCAGAAGAAGCACCGGCUAACUACGUGCCAGCAGCCGCGGUAAUACGGAGGGUGCAAGCGUUAAUCGGAAUUACUGGGCGUAAAGCGUGCGCAGGCGGUUUGUUAAGUCGGAUGUGAAAUCCCCGGGCUCAACCUGGGAACUGCAUUCGAAACUGGCAGGCUAGAGUCUUGUAGAGGGGGGUAGAAUUCCAGGUGUAGCGGUGAAAUGCGUAGAGAUGUGGAGGAAUACCGGUGGCGAAGGCGGCCCCCUGGACAAAGACUGACGCUCAUGUGCGAAAGCGUGGGGAGCAAACAGGAUUAGAUACCCUG